GCACUGCUGAAGAGUCCUACAAUAGGACUAAACGGCCAUCUAGUGC
RNAcentral lists this non-coding RNA (46 nucleotides) under Schistosoma margrebowiei. The record is from RNAcentral. Lineage: Eukaryota; Metazoa; Platyhelminthes; Trematoda; Strigeidida; Schistosomatidae.